UGGGGAAUUUUGGACAAUUGGGCGAAAGCCUGAUCCAGCAAUGCCGCGUGUGUGAAGAAGGCCUUCGGGUUGUAAAGCACUUUUUGUCCGGAAAGAAAUCCUUGGCUCUAAUACAGUCGGGGGAUGACGGUACCGGAAGAAUAAGCACCGGCUAACUACGUGCCAGCAGCCGCGGUAAUACGUAGGGUGCAAGCGUUAAUCGGAAUUACUGGGCGUAAAGCGUGCGCAGGCGGUUUGCUAAGACCGAUGUGAAAUCCCCGGGCUAACCUGGGAACUGCAUUGGUGACUGGCAGGCUAGAGUAUGGCAGAGGGGGGUAGAAUUCCACGUGUAGCAGUGAAAUGCGUAGAGAUGUGGAGGAAUACCGAUGGCGAAGGCAGCCCCCUGGGCCAAUACUGACGCUCAUGCACG
RNAcentral lists this ribosomal RNA (409 nucleotides) under uncultured bacterium. Its description in RNAcentral is "partial 16S ribosomal RNA". It matches the Rfam family "Bacterial small subunit ribosomal RNA", at positions 355 to 755 of the family's 1533-position model. The record is from RNAcentral.